AGCUGACGAGUGGCGACGGGUGAGUAAUACAUCGGAACGUGCCCAGUCGUGGGGGAUAACUACUCGAAAGAGUAGCUAAUACCGCAUACGAUCUGAGGAUGAAAGCGGGGGACCUUCGGGCCUCGCGCGAUUGGAGCGGCCGAUGGCAGAUUAGGUAGUUGGUGGGAUAAAAGCUUACCAAGCCGACGAUCUGUAGCUGGUCUGAGAGGACGACCAGCCACACUGGGACUGAGACACGGCCCAGACUCCUACGGGAGGCAGCAGUGGGGAAUUUUGGACAAUGGGCGAAAGCCUGAUCCAGCAAUGCCGCGUGCAGGAUGAAGGCCUUCGGGUUGUAAACUGCUUUUGUACGGAACGAAAAAGCUCCUUCUAAUACAGGGGGCCCAUGACGGUACCGUAAGAAUAAGCACCGGCUAACUACGUGCCAGCAGCCGCGGUAAUACGUAGGGUGCGAGCGUUAAUCGGAAUUACUGGGCGUAAAGCGUGCGCAGGCGGUUAUGUAAGACAGAUGUGAAAUCCCCGGGCUCAACCUGGGAACUGCAUUUGUGACUGCAUGGCUAGAGUACGGUAGAGGGGGAUGG
RNAcentral lists this ribosomal RNA (581 nucleotides) under Delftia sp. EECC-23. Its description in RNAcentral is "bacterial SSU rRNA". It matches the Rfam family "Bacterial small subunit ribosomal RNA", at positions 86 to 664 of the family's 1533-position model. The record is from RNAcentral. Lineage: Bacteria; Pseudomonadati; Pseudomonadota; Betaproteobacteria; Burkholderiales; Comamonadaceae.